UGGUUUUGGUUGGACAGUUGUAGGUAUCAAUGUUAUUAUGGAGAAAUGAGAGAAUGGGUGUAGUAGUGAGAUUCUGCUGGGUCCCAGCACAUUCAGGUGUGGAAGGAAAUUAAAUUGGUGACCAGUUAUCUAAAAGAGCUUUGAAACAAGAUAUAAUUGAUAUUAAUGUUCCACUGGGUAGAGGUGAGGCCAAAUGUAAGAUCAGAGACAUUUUGAUAGAUGUGUGGCAGAAGAGAUGGGACUCUGAGAACAAGGGACGGCAUUUAUAUGUCCUCUAAAGGUCGGUGGACCAAGGAUCAAAGGUCAGAUUAGGAAGGAAGAGGUGGUGUUUACUCGAUUGUGUUUAGGACAUUGUACAUUGAACUGGUCCUUACAUCUGGUUGGCAGCAMGUGAAUGGUUUGUGUCUGGAGGGUAUGGUCAAUGAAACGGUGGAGCAUGUGUUGUUAUAUUGUUGUAAGGAUGUUGAAGAGAGGGAAAGAUUGAAGUGUAGGGUCAUUGAGGUUGGACGGGGUUGGGAAGGUGGAAGGGAUUUGGGGGAUGGGGGAGGGUCUAUUAGAAGUUAGUAGGACUCUUUUUUAUUUUCUCAGAAGUUCUGAGUUAGGCAGGAGGAUUUAGAGUGGUGUAAACCGUGAUUGGACACACUCCAGCACAGUAGGUGGCGCCAUGCACCUUUAACGUUGGUUUGAGGACCGCCAUUAUAUCAUAGAAGAAGAAGUUGGUCUGUGAGUGUUUUGUGGUUCCUGAGGAGGGCUACUAUUCUUUUUUCUUUUGGUUUUCAAGUAUUUUCUGAAUUUAUUAAAGCCAAAGCUAAAGCUACCCUAAACAAUUCAAUAUAUCAGUCAAUAUAUUUUCUCUGUGAUUUGUUGUUUUCCCGUCAACCGUUCCAUCGCAUCUUAACCGUGUUACCGGGCGGGCACUAGGACCCGGGGGAGGCUGCUGCUGCAGAGGCUGCUGCACCGGUAGUGACGUCAGUCCUACUUGUAGCUCAUUGUGGUCAACGUCAGCUGUGGCUCGAGACUGCGAGCUAACGGUUAACGGAGAGGAAAAGACUCUGACAGGACACAUUCAUGUAGAUAGGCUAUGAUGGCAAUUUGUGGAGGGAGGAGAGUAGAGCAGGACGCAAGAGG
Salvelinus sp. IW2-2015 is the source of this 1128-nucleotide non-coding RNA. NCBI's taxonomy places the organism in Eukaryota, Metazoa, Chordata, Actinopteri, Salmoniformes, Salmonidae. The record is from RefSeq and is a predicted model, not a curated record.